UGGGGAAUUUUGGACAAUGGGGGCAACCCUGAUCCAGCCAUGCCGCGUGAGUGAAGAAGGCCUUCGGGUUGUAAAGCUCUUUCGGACGGGACGAAAUGGUUACGGUGAAUAACUGUGACUGAUGACGGUACCGUAAUAAGAAGCACCGGCUAACUACGUGCCAGCAGCCGCGGUAAUACGUAGGGUGCGAGCGUUAAUCGGAAUUACUGGGCGUAAAGCGUGCGCAGGCGGUUCGCCAAGUCAGGUGUGAAAUCCCCGGGCUUAACCUGGGAAUUGCGCUUGAAACUAGCGGGCUUGAGUGUGGCAGAGGGGGGUGGAAUUCCACGUGUAGCAGUGAAAUGCGUAGAGAUGUGGAGGAACACCGAUGGCGAAGGCAGCCCCCUGGGUCAACACUGACGCUCAUGCACGAAAGCGUGGGGAGCAAACAGGAUUAGAUACCCCGGUAGUCCCUGAGCGGGCUGGCAAGGCGCAU
RNAcentral lists this ribosomal RNA (472 nucleotides) under uncultured bacterium. RNAcentral's name for it is "bacterial SSU rRNA". It matches the Rfam family "Bacterial small subunit ribosomal RNA", at positions 355 to 825 of the family's 1533-position model. The record is from RNAcentral.